CCUACGGGUGGCAGCAGUGAGGAAUAUUGGUCAAUGGGCGGAAGCCUGAACCAGCCAAGUAGCGUGCAGGAUGACGGCCCUACGGGUUGUAAACUGCUUUUAUACGGGAAUAACGCGCCUUACGUGUAGGGCUUUGCAUGUACCGUAUGAAUAAGAACCGGCUAAUUCCGUGCCAGCAGCCGCGGUAAUACGGAAGGUCCGGGCGUUUCCGGAUUUAUUGGGUUUUAAGGGAGCGUAGGCCGCAUGUCAAGCGUGCUGUGAAAUGGCCGGGCUCAACCCCGGCCUUGCAGCGCGAACUGGCGUGCUUGAGUCCGCGGAAAGCAGGCGGAAUUCGUCGUGUAGCGGUGAAAUGCUUAGAUAUGAUGAAGAACCCCGAUUGCGAAGGCAGCUUGCUGCAGCGGAACUGACGCUGAUGCUCGAAAGCGCGGGUAUCGAACAGGAUUAGAGACCCGAGUAGUC
Molecule: ribosomal RNA, 459 nt
Filed under: uncultured bacterium
Lineage: Bacteria
Description: partial 16S ribosomal RNA
Rfam family: Bacterial small subunit ribosomal RNA
Source: RNAcentral